UACCAGCACCCCGAGUGGUCGGGACGAUUAAUGGGCCUAAAGCAUCCGUAGCCGGUCAUGCAAGUCCUCCGUUAAAUCCAGCCGCUCAACGGUUGGGCUGCGGAGGAUACUACGUGGCUAGGAGGCGGGAGAGGCAAGCGGUACUCAGUGGGUAGGGGUAAAAUCCUUUGAUCCAUUGAAGACCACCAGUGGCGAAGGCGGCUUGCCAGAACGCGCUCGACGGUGAGGGAUGAAAGCUGGGGGAGCAAACCGG
RNAcentral lists this ribosomal RNA (253 nucleotides) under uncultured bacterium. RNAcentral describes it as "partial 16S ribosomal RNA". It matches the Rfam family "Archaeal small subunit ribosomal RNA", at positions 474 to 727 of the family's 1478-position model. The record is from RNAcentral.